Molecule: long non-coding RNA, 697 nt
Filed under: Homo sapiens (human)
Lineage: Eukaryota; Metazoa; Chordata; Mammalia; Primates; Hominidae
Description: non-protein coding lnc-LRRC72-7:1
Source: RNAcentral
UAAAUUGGAAAGUACUCUCUCCUCUGCUAUUUUCUGGAAGAGAUUGUAUAGAAUUAUGUUAAUUCUUAUUUCAGUAUUAGCAUAUUCAUGAAAAUGACUUGAUCAAAUAGCUACCUACAUAAACUAUGGGGCCUGAAUUUUGGAAUGCGUUUUGCUUUUAAAAUCAACCACAUAUGUUUUUAGAAGUUCAUCACUUUGCCAAUGGGAGGGACUCAAUAUGCACUUUAUAAGUGACUGAAUGACUGAAGGAGUGGGGAGAUGAAUCAAUCAUCCUAAAAAAUAUGAUCAGCCAUUUCAAAGUGGCAUUCUUGAUGCGUUUUCCUUUUAUGGCAAGGCAAACACACAAAGUUCCCUGUGUAAGACAGAAUGCAUUUAUUAUAUGGCUGGUAACGAUUAGGGCAGUGCUAUAUAGCCACGAAAGAAAAUCAUUCUCUGAGAGAAGCGAACGUUCAAAACCUAAGCCUGUGGUUUUGACAUUAUUAGUACCACUCUACCUGCUUAAGCAUUGACAAAUUAUUCAGUAACAGAUAAUGACUGGCUGGGGUGGCAAACAUAGAUGCUACUACCUCCAUAAUUGCACAACUACAUACUGUAAAAUUGCAUUAUGCAAUGGAGUCAAGUUAAAUAGGGUAUAAUAAAAUAAACUUGUUUUGUAUUUAGACAGAACUUUGCAAAGUUAACAAUUUCAUUUUCAUCU